GCCCCUGUAGCUCAGAGGAUAGAGCAACGGUCUUCUAAACCGUGGGUCGUAGGUUCGAUUCCUACCGGGGGCG
This 73-nucleotide transfer RNA is filed under the name Anaerolineales bacterium. Its description in RNAcentral is "tRNA-Arg". It matches the Rfam family "tRNA". Rfam says of the family: Transfer RNA (tRNA) molecules are approximately 80 nucleotides in length. Their secondary structure includes four short double-helical elements and three loops (D, anti-codon, and T loops). Lineage: Bacteria; Bacillati; Chloroflexota; Anaerolineae; Anaerolineales. The record is from RNAcentral.